RNAcentral lists this unclassified non-coding RNA (483 nucleotides) under Hevea brasiliensis (rubber tree). The record is from RNAcentral. Lineage: Eukaryota; Viridiplantae; Streptophyta; Magnoliopsida; Malpighiales; Euphorbiaceae.
GGUUGUGUUUGAAGAAUGGGGUGGUGAUCCAAGUGGAAUUUCUUUGGUCAAAAGGACUACAGGGAGUGUUUGUGCUGAUGUAUUUGAAGGACAGCCAGCAUUGAAGAACUGGCAGAUGAUUGCACAGGGCAAACUUGACCAUCUCCAACCCAAAGCCCAUUUGUGGUGUCCUCCAGGGCAGAAGAUCACUCAGAUCAAGUUUGCUAGCUAUGGAAUGCCUCAGGGGACUUGCGGAAGCUUCCGAAAGGGAAGCUGUCAUGCCCAGAAGUCAUAUGAUGCUUUUGAAAAGGUAUUCAAACAGCUAAGAAUUUGUUUAAGGCUUAGUUGAGAUGAUUAUAAUGCUACUGACUACUGAAACUAAGUUUAUAAGUUUGCAAAACUCUAGUUUCUGAUUCUUGUUAUGUUUGAAUUCUGUAGUUAUUCUAUAGUUUUAUGAACUGACCUUGAUAAGCCUAUUGCAGAAGUGUGUUGGAAAGCAGUCUU